CCUACGGGGGGCAGCAGUGAGGAAUAUUGGUCAAUGGACGAGAGUCUGAACCAGCCAAGUAGCGUGAAGGAUGACUGCCCUAUGGGUUGUAAACUUCUGUUAUAAAGGAAUAAAACGAGGCACGUGUGCGUUUUUGCAUGUACAAUAUGAAUAAGGAUCGGCUAACUCCGUGCCAGCAGCCGCGGUAAUACGGAGGAUCCGAGCGUUAUCCGGAUUUAUUGGGUUUAAAGGGAGCGUAGAUGGCUUGUUAAGUCAGUUGUGAAAGUUUGCGGCUCAACCGUAAAAUUGCAAUUGAAACUGGCAGUCUUGAGUACAGUUGAGGUCGGCGGCAUUCGUGUUGUAGCGGU
RNAcentral lists this ribosomal RNA (347 nucleotides) under uncultured bacterium. RNAcentral describes it as "partial 16S ribosomal RNA". It matches the Rfam family "Bacterial small subunit ribosomal RNA", at positions 338 to 682 of the family's 1533-position model. The record is from RNAcentral.